This is a long non-coding RNA of Amphiprion ocellaris (clown anemonefish), 3511 nucleotides long. RefSeq lists it as uncharacterized. The transcript has 3 exons. NCBI's taxonomy places the organism in Eukaryota, Metazoa, Chordata, Actinopteri, Pomacentridae. The record is from RefSeq and is a predicted model, not a curated record.
AACAGUUUAAAAUGGUUAAAAACACUUUUAAAAAAAUGAAUAUUCUCUAUGUAAUGUACACAAAUAAUCAAAGUCAGCCUUAAUAGGGUCUUAAAAUUGCAAAAGAAAACAAAACAUGCAACUAAGCCGCACAGUAAUUAAUACAGAAGAUAAAUCUCACCAGUUUGUACACCAAUGUUUGCAUGCUUCUUUCAAUAUGAGCUACAGUUAACUAGAAAAUAAUCCUUUCUCCAUAAAUGUAGUUUCUGUCUGCUCACUGUGCUGAAUGCAGUGUUGGCAUGGCAUCAUCUAUAACCCCGUGGCUUUCAUUAGCACAUUUCAGUAAACACACACUUGAAAGAUGAGCUGGUCCUGCACUACUGGAAGUGCUGCCGGCGCUGCAGACGAAGCCACGGGCGUUCUGACUGGAUGUAUGGGUUCUGACAUCCAUCAUGACUCAUGUCACAGUGUCAGGCAGGGAGAGGAUAUUGUGCAGAAUUGAUUUCACUCUGGAUAUGAACACAGAAAUCAGGGAAACAUAGCCAUAUAGGAUGAAGAGUCACAAAAAAACAAUACAUUUUACUGUUAAUCAAACAAACCUUAUGUAUUUCACUGCAAACAUUUCAUGAAUUUCUAAACAGCUGACCUUAAUUCUUCUAAAAAACAAUCUUUUUUUGAAAAUUGCCAUUAGUCAUAAAAACCAACCUGCUUCUCUCCGGUCAUAAUUUAUUCAUAUUUAUCCUUCCUAAGUUGUUAUAAUCAUCAUCCUUUUUCUCCUUAAAGAUCUCAUUAAAAUCUUCACCUUCACUCAUAUUACUGGAAUAAAACUAUUCUCUACAAAUCUGCAUUUAAAAAAAACAAAAACUCACUAGUGACUGUAAUUAUGCAGUUCCCCCGGUAUGCAGUUCACACAUCCACACAACAAAUAGUCACUUUUUAACUGCAACGAAGCAAUUCCCCUGCAGGGAUCAUUUAAUUUAUUUUAAUUCUGGAGGAGUAUCUCCAUGAUUCUUUCAGUUUUAUUCACUUCAGGUUCUGUCCAUGAAGCUGAAUUCUCAUCUAACUUACAACAGAAUGAAGGGACAGAGGCUAAAAAUUUUAUGAGUAGCAUUAAUAAAUAGUGCAUAUUACAAUAAGGCUUUACCUGCAUGACAGGUAAUUAUGAUAAUGUAAUCCUGUAUCACGCAAUGAAUCCUCUUUAUUUCACCCCUGUGCAGGCCUUCUAGGUCCUGUUGAGUGCUGUAUUGAGAAAGCGCCAUGCGGCUACUAUAGUGAUGCUAAUACAGUUUGGGAUAUACAGAAAUACGACUUGAGUAAAAGCCCUUUAUUAUCCUGUUUGAUGAGAGCAGGAGCAACCAAGCAGUUUUGUAACGACACCUGCAUGGGUCAUUUGGAGCUUCAUUUCCAUUUCAUUUAGCCUGCUGGGCUUCUUUUAAGUGUCACAUAGAGCAUAUUGAGUAUCCAAAUGCUAUGGGUGGGCAGAAGUGGAUCACCAAUCAGGCUAAAAGGAUUACCACCUCAGGACACUAGGAUAUAAGAGGCCACAUAGGUUUAUUAUCAACUUUGGUUGGGAAUAAACUGCACAGUAAAACUGACAUAAUAAAGGCUUUAAAGUGGCUCUACAGUCGUACUAAUGACUCAUUUACAGUAUGUGAGGCUCUACUUAAGCACAGCAGUGAUCUAAGCCAAAUACUACCAUCAGAAUGCUAACAUGCUAAUGUUUAGCAGGUGAUUCACUGUCUCACAUGCACAGUUAGGAAUGUAGCAGGCAAAUAUUCACUACUUUGUACAUGCUAGUGACCACUGUUCCCUCUAAGCUGCGCGCGUGCGCAAUUGCGCACUGCUGACACGGUCUCCGCGCACAGAAAAUCUGCGCUGCGCACAAAAAAAACCAACCUAAAUUGUAAAUAAAAUAAACACGUAACAAUUCAUUCUGUGCUAUUUUUCAAUGUGAGUCAGUGAGUUACCGGUGACUGGCUGCUGCAGCCAAUGAUGCGAUUCACAUACGUAUUUACCAUAGACUGUAUAUAAUGGUAUUUACGCAGCUAAUCAACAUCAGGCGUCCUUAUGUGCAGCCAUCGUUGUUGUCAUAGAUAUGAAUGAGUAGAUAGGACACGCCCCUUUGAGCUGCGUGCUACAGCGAGGCUAAGCUAGUGGGGGCAAAGUUUCAGUGCAUUCCGUUGAUGUCGACGGCGUGAAAACGGAAACAAGAAGUAUGCCGGCUCACUGUGCUGCAUACAGUUACACACUGCAUCGUGCGAUUGAGACAAGGAAACUUGUGUAGUGCCCUGGUAUUCUGUUAUUGUCAUUUAUUUUGUUGACGUGUAUCUAAUGCUGUUUAUUUACUGUUUUCGCAUAAUCUCUGAAAUUCCAAUGUUCUGUGUUGACCGUGAACGCCACAAGUUGUUUUCCGUCAUGAUUGGGUUAGACAGGUGCCAAUCUGAUAUAGUUGGCCAAUGAUUGUUAUGUUGUGAUGGACAUGGGGGCCAAUUGAAUCGCUGCAGAGGCGGGAUGAAGAGUGAAGCGCGCGAAGCGGACGGCGAUGCUGAAGGAGAAUGGAGGAAAAGUUACCGGUGGAAAACGAACGAGCUAGCGACCAAGCAACCGACAGCUGCCGCUCGCCGAGUGAGGAGGGACAGAGUUAAGGAUCGUGGUGAGGUACCGAGGCGGUGAAGACUGUUGAACAGCCUUUGUUUUUUUUUGGACACUGAAGUUGAACUUUGUGGUUUUUGGAAGCUGAAUCCGGACUUUCUGUUUUUGGAAGCUGAAGCCAGACUUUCUAUUUUUUUGGAAGCUGAAGCCGGACUUUCUAUCCUUGUGUGUUUCUUCAUGAGUUCCAACUGUGCACCAGGUCUGGUACCAGAGGACAGACUAAAUCCCGGGUGAUUUUGGGUUUCCCAGAGACUAUGGGUUGAGGAGGAAUUGGAAGUUUGUCGGCUUAGACCUGGUGUCAUUCCAUCAGUGUUAAACUUCCCGGUUCAUCUUGGAAGAGUACGUGCCAGAAAGACCACGACCAAGCAGCCUUGAGAUCUUAGGCAGCGUCUCCCCGAGCCACCAACCACUGGAACACAUCUCCAAAGUUCUGCUGGGCCAGCUCAGCUUCCCCUCAGAAGAAGUGCCACCACCUGCCAGAUGAAGGAGCCUUUUGAGAGGCAGCUGGCAUCGUGAUUGAACUGUACUUUGGUCUGUUCCAAUCCAGCUUCAGCUCCAGAGACGGCAGGCGGGACGAGUCAACGGAGGCCUGGUGGACGAAGGCAUGCAGCUGAGUACAAUCCAGAAAACAACAGAGGAGGAGUGCAGCGACCCAGGACCAGAACAAACAGAGUAGCAUCGUAUGUCUCUUAGAAAACAUCAUAGUAGAGCCUUUGGGAUGAAAAAACACCAUCAUAUACAUCGUAUAUUGUACAAAUAACAAGUCAAAGCAAAGAGACAUACAUUGUAGAAUUGUAGUAAUUGUGGGCUGACUGAUUUACUGAUUAUUAAUAUUUUAUUUUUUACUGAUUUAUGGUAAUAAAUAAAUUUUAAAAUGGUG